UUUAAGUAUAAUUGUGGAUUUUUUAUCCAAUGUUUGAUCCUCCGUCUUAUCUGAAAUUUUUUAUGAUUAAUAUUUUUAUUGUUAUUAGAUGAUAAAACAUGAAUAAUACUUUAUGCGUGAUUUAUUUUUUUAUAAGUUUUUCAAGUAAGACGGACAGUGAAACGAUGGAGAUAAAAACCGUACAACUACACUUAAA
Oryza sativa Indica Group (long-grained rice) is the source of this 196-nucleotide microRNA precursor. It matches the Rfam family "MIR812 microRNA precursor family". Lineage: Eukaryota; Viridiplantae; Streptophyta; Magnoliopsida; Poales; Poaceae. The record is from Rfam.